CUAUCCGCAGAUUCCGCACUGAAGCGGGAGAGAGAAACAUCUCUUUCUUGUUUUUUGGUUUUCCCUUUCUCUCUUUUACGCCGAUGGUUCUGGCUUCUUCUCUUCUGCAGGUUCUUUCUAAGAGGAAAAGAAAACUCUGUACUUCUAUUUUCUUACCCUGCAUCUUCAUCUAAAGAAUUAACUGAAGGAUAAAAUUGUUGAGGUUUUUCUCCAUCUGUGCAACAAAAAGGGAGCUUGUCCUUUCUGGAUACCUAGUUGGUUCCUGCAUUCAUGUCCAUAAGCAGAGAUCCAGAAGAGAGACAUGGAAAGCAAAGGGAAAAAAUUAGUAGCUCAAGUAAAGAGUGAGUUUAAUUGUGUUUCAGCCACCCCCAAUUUCAGAUAAGGGAGUCUGCUUAGGUAAGGUUUAUGGAUCUUUAUCUCAUGAUGGUAAAGUUAUAGAACAAACUUCCACGUAGCUCAGCAAGACAAGAACAAGCCUAGAGGUUGUGCUCACAAGAGACAUUUUGUUACUGCUGCUAACAUGUCUUCUUCUCCACAAAAUUGAUCCUAAGUUUCUGUUGGUUAGAGCUAAUUAGAUGCAGUUAUGUAAAGGGCGGAGAUACAAACUUACAGGGUGUUGACUACGCCUACGUUACAAGCAUUUAUUCCUUUGUGGAGAAUUGGUAGGUCUCAUCUUACGCGCCAUGGAAUUCAAGAACUGUACAUGGAUUACCUUGCUGCUUGUGAGCUUUUUGAUGGGGAUACAUUUACAGUCAUUUAGAUUCGGUGUCUAAAUUCAGGACAAUUUCUUUUGGGAUAUUGAACCUAAGUGUAAACUGAUUGCAGUUAUGAAUUGUGUAACUAAUAGGUUUAUUUAAAUAUACAUUUGAGUUUAUGAA
Papaver somniferum (opium poppy) is the source of this 878-nucleotide long non-coding RNA. RefSeq lists it as uncharacterized. Lineage: Eukaryota; Viridiplantae; Streptophyta; Magnoliopsida; Ranunculales; Papaveraceae. The transcript has 7 exons. The record is from RefSeq and is a predicted model, not a curated record.